AACGAACGCUGGCGGCGUGGCUAAAACAUGCAAGUCGAACGCGAAAGUGGAGCUUGCUCCGCGAGUAGAGUGGCGUAAGGGCGAGGAAUACAUGGAUAACGUACCCCGGGCACCGGGAUAGCUGUGGGAAACUGCAGGUAAUACCGGAUGAGACCACAGCACCUACGGGUGCAGCGGUCAAAGGGUGGGGAUUCCUUCGGGAACCUGUCGGCCUGGGAGCGGUCCAUGUCCUAUCAGCUUGUUGGUGAGGUAAUGGCUCACCAAGGCUAAGACGGGUAGCGGGACUGAGAGGUUGACCCGCCGCAUCGGGACUGAGACACUGCCCGGACUCCUACGGGAGGCUGCAGUAACGAAUAUUGGACAAUGAGCGAAAGCUUGAUCCAGCGACGCCGCGUGUAGGACGAAGUCCCUCGGGAUGUAAACUACUGUCAGGGACUACCAAGCAAAUGGAGCUAAUAUCUCCAUGCGUUGAGGAUUCCCAGAGGAAGUCACGGCUAACUUCGUGCCAGCAGCCGCGGUAAGACGAAGGUGGCGAGCGUUGUUCGGAAUUACUGGGCUUAAAGCGCACGCAGGCGGGCUAUCAAGCGUCUUGUGAAAGCCCUCGGCUCAACCGAGGAAUUGCUGGGCGAACUGGCAGCCUUGAGGCAGGUAGGGGCAACUGGAACUCUUGGUGGAGCGGUGGAAUGCGUAGAUAUCAAGGGGAACGCCGGAGGCGAAGGCGAGUUGCUGGGCCUGUCCUGACGCUGAGGUGCGAAAGCGUGGGGAGCGAACGGGAUUAGAUACCCCGGUAGUCCACGCCCUAAACGAUGUGAACUAGGUCGGAGGCACUCUGACGUGUUUUUGGCCGAAAUGAAAACGGUAAGUUCACCGCCUGGGGAGUACGGUCGCAAGGCUAAAACUCAAAGGAAUUGACGGGGGCUCACACAAGCGGUGGAGCAUGUUGCUUAAUUCGAUGCAACGCGAAGAACCUUAUCCUGGGCUUGACAUGCUUGGAUGCCCAUCUGGAAACAGAGUAGGCUGCCCUUCGGGGUGAAACUUGCACAGGUGCUGCAUGGCUGUCGUCAGCUCGUGUCGUGAGAUGUUGGGUUAAGUCCCGUAACGAGCGAAACCCUUGCCGUUAGUUGCCAGCGGGUAAUGCCGGGGACUCUAGCGGGACUGCCGGUGUUAAACCGGAGGAAGGUGGGGAUGACGUCAAGUCCUCAUGGCCUUUAUGCCCAGGGCUGCAAACGUGCUACAAUGGCUGGGACAAACCGACGCAAAACCGCGAGGUCGAGCAAAUCGGAAAAAGCCGGCCCCAGUUCGGAUUGGAGUCUGCAACUCGACUCCAUGAAGUUGGAAUCGCUAGUAAUCGCGUAUCAGCGUGACGCGGUGAAUGUGUUCCUGAGCCUUGUACACACCGCCCGUCAAGUCAUGGAAGCCGGGAGCGCCCGAAGUCGGCACGAUUCAGUGCUGCCGAAGGUGAGUUCGGUGACUGGGACU
Molecule: ribosomal RNA, 1479 nt
Filed under: uncultured prokaryote
Description: partial 16S ribosomal RNA
Rfam family: Bacterial small subunit ribosomal RNA
Source: RNAcentral